Molecule: long non-coding RNA, 1138 nt
Filed under: Equus asinus (donkey)
Lineage: Eukaryota; Metazoa; Chordata; Mammalia; Perissodactyla; Equidae
Description: lncRNA (ENSEASG00005024417.1)
Source: RNAcentral
GUGAUUCUGAUGUCUACUAAAGUUUGAGAAACAGUGUGUAGAUAAUAGGAAUUUGGGUUCUAUAGUCAGGCUUCCUUUUUGAGCAGGCAGCUUAAGCUCACUGCACCUGGUUUUCACAUCUGUAGAGUGGGAAUAACGAUAAUACUUAGAUUAUAAAGUUAGAGUAAUCCAUGUUGGCUAUUCUGUGCUGCUGGAGCUGGAUCAGGGAGUUGACCCUGAGAUUAUAGUGGGAGAAGCUGAGGUUCAAAUGCCAGGAGAGCAUGGGUAGGUGCUAAAUCUGGAGGUGUCGAAGAUAGGGAUAGAAGCAAGGUUUAUGAUAAGUGAGACAAGAGUGAGAGAAAGCAGUUUGGGAUCAGCUGGGGAAAGGGAGUGCCCUGAGAACUUGCCCUAGUGGGCCAGUGGGAGUUUGAGUUAUGAGAAGGAGUUAAUUUUAUGUCAUGAGCUGACUCAACACCUUCACCACUGCAUCCUAGAUGAAGACAGGUGGGGCUAACAGGAUGAAAUUCCAAGGGACCAAAGUCUGGAUAACUUCUUCCCCUGAGGCAGUAGAAGAAUCUGCUGAUGGAGAGACGGCAGAAUUGGAACCACAGGAGAGCUCUGAGAAACAACCACAGCUUACCGUGGGUUGUGGAUAAACACAGCACGCUGAACACCAUAUAUACCUGUGCAAUGAAAUGAUCGAGAGACUGACGGGCAGGUUCCAAGAAAAGCUUAAAUGAAUUAGAGGUGGAGAGCUUGACAAGGACUUUGGACAGGAAAGCAUGCAACCAGGCACAUAUAUUUUGUAUUAGCCCUGGGGCCUGCACAGAGACUAUGGUGGUCGGGGUGUGAUAAACACCAAGGGACUUAACAAUUAGAAGCUCACUGAGAAUCAGAUUCUCCACACUGCAAAAAGUCUACAAGAAACUGCAGGAAAAAUCACGAUCAUCCAGAUCCUGAGAAAGGGAAUAAUAUGAUUCAAGCCUUCCAUGCACUGUUUGAAAAUCUUACCCCAUUCCCUACCGUUUAACAUCAAGAGUUUACUCGAAGGUGAACCAAACAACUGUGUGUAGACCACUGAGCCAAAAAGCCUGUUUAAAUAAUAGAGUCUUGUGCAAACAGCGAUCUUUUUAUUUGAGAAUAAUAAAAUGAUUUUGUC